UACGUAGGGUGCAAGCGUUGUCCGGAAUUAUUGGGCGUAAAGAGCUCGUAGGCGGUUUGUCGCGUCUGCCGUGAAAGUCCGGGGCUCAACUCCGGAUCUGCGGUGGGUACGGGCAGACUAGAGUGAUGUAGGGGAGACUGGAAUUCCUGGUGUAGCGGUGAAAUGCGCAGAUAUCGGGAAGAACACCCGUGGCGAAGGCGGCUCUCUGGCCCGGUACUGACGCUGAGAUGCGAAAGCGUGGGGAGCAAACAGG
RNAcentral lists this ribosomal RNA (253 nucleotides) under uncultured bacterium. RNAcentral's name for it is "partial 16S ribosomal RNA". It matches the Rfam family "Bacterial small subunit ribosomal RNA", at positions 524 to 776 of the family's 1533-position model. The record is from RNAcentral.